RNAcentral lists this unclassified non-coding RNA (397 nucleotides) under fungal sp. RNAcentral describes it as "partial internal transcribed spacer region". The stretch from base 1 to 46 matches the Rfam family "Eukaryotic small subunit ribosomal RNA", at positions 1786 to 1831 of the family's 1831-position model. The record is from RNAcentral. Lineage: Eukaryota; Fungi.
AAGUCGUAACAAGGUUUCCGUAGGUGAACCUGCGGAAGGAUCAUUAAACAAAAUAUGCGCCGUUGUAGCGUCUGAAACAAUCGUAUCCGUUAGGAUGCGAUUGAUUCAGACCUACUAGGUGCAUCAACUCUAGAUCAUGCAUCAAGUGAUCAAUCGCUAUCGCAAUUGCUCACUUGAUGCAUGAUGCCUGAAUUGAUGCUAAUGAUAAAUACACUAUCCUUACGGAUACUGUAUUUAUCAUGACACAACUGUGAUGAGACUAUUGCUCGUUAGCCGUAAUAGCGUCUUCGACACUAUCACGACUAUUCGCAAUAGUCUCAUGCAGAUACACGAUUAAAAAUUGACAAAAAAAGACAACCAAAAAAAUUCACUUUUAACAAUGGAUCUCUUGGCUCUU